Molecule: long non-coding RNA, 2027 nt
Filed under: Macaca fascicularis (crab-eating macaque)
Lineage: Eukaryota; Metazoa; Chordata; Mammalia; Primates; Cercopithecidae
Description: lncRNA (ENSMFAG00000047644.1)
Source: RNAcentral
UUUUGGGGUGAAGUCCCCUGAAGGUCAGGGGAUAAACUUGGUAGGUAGACCAACAAAGAGGAAAACAAAAAUUGGGUGCAAGCUGGUGUUCAUGACUACUAAACAAAAUUAGGAGUUUCAGGAAAACCUUUUACAGGAUUAGACUGCAGGCUUGUCUCUGAUCACCACUGUGACAGCCAGUGUGCCCACCUGCUCCCACCCUCCACUCUCCCUCCCCUCCUCCACUCCCCUACCUCUCCCUCCCCCUACCUCCCCCCUCUCUGUCCUCAUACCCCCACCCCAGACUGCUCAGGUGAAUCCCAUCUUUGUCAGACUAGUUCCUAAGCUAUGGCUGCAAAGAUUGGAAUUAGAGCGGGGAGGAGCCGAGAGGGCCAGGGACUGCUGUGUCAGAUUUACUCUGAGAGCUACCGGCAGAACAGUGAGGAAUAGAUCUGGAGGGUUAAAGAAAAGGGUGAGAGAGACAAGAGCCAGUGUGGGCUGGGUCUGGAAAAUAAGAAAGAGGCUAAAGUCAGGAGUUUGAAAAGAAGCUGAAGAGGAAUGGGAUAGAGAGAGAUACGUUGUUAUGUGCUGCAUAGUUUUAACAUCUCAGUCAACAACAGACUGCAUGUGCGACUGUUGUCCCAUGAGUAUCAUGGAGCUGCCCUCUACAGGUGUACUAUUUUUUAUCUUUUAUACAGUAUUUUAACUGUACCUUUUCUAUGUUUAGACCACAUAUAUUCACCAUUGUGUUACAACUGCCUACAGUGUUCAGUACAGUUACCUGCUGUACAGGUUUGCAGCCUAGGAGCACUAGGCUGUGGCCAGAGUGUUUAGUAGGCUAUGCCAUCUAGGUUUGUGUAAGUAAACUCUGUGAUGUUCACACAACAAAAUUGCUUAAUGACACAUUUCUCAGAACAUGUCCGCAUUGUUAAGCAAUGCAUGACUGCAUAUGAUCCCCAACCUAGGGUGGUUUGAUUCAUGACUUUUUGACUUACAAUGACAUGAUAGCAAUAUACAUUCAGUAGAAAUUGUACUUCAAGUUCACAUACAACCAUGCUCUUUCUCACUUUCGAUAUCAUAUUCAAUAAAUUACAUGAGGUAUUCAACACUAGAUUAUAAAAUAGACUUUGGGUUAGAUGUUCUUGCCCAACUGUAGGCUAAAGUAAAUGUUCUGAAUAUGUUUAAGGUAAGCUAAGCUAGGAUGUUCAGUAGGUUAGAUAUAUCGAAUGCAUUUUGAUUUAUAAUAUUUUCAACUUACCAUAGGUUUACUAUUACAUGAUAGUAUGACAUACUGUCAUAAGUCAAGGAGCAUCUGGUGGGGUGAGAAGAGAGAGAGAAACAGAGGCUUUUAAGUUUGAGAGGCCAGGCAAAGGUGGCUCACGCCUGUAAUCCCAGCAUGAUCGCCUGAGCUCAGGAGUUUGAGACCAGCCUUGGCAACAUGGCAAAACCCUGUUUCUACCAAAAAUAUUUUAAAAAUUAGCCAGGCAUGGUGGUGUACACCUGCAGUCCCAGCUACUCGGGAGGCUGAGGUGGGAGGAUGGCUUGAGACUGGGAGGUGGAGGCUGCAGUGAACCACGAUUGUGCCACCACACUCCAGCCUGGGCAACAGAGCAAGACCCUGUCUCAAAAAUAAAUAAACAAACAAACUUAGUACCAUACUCCCUGCCUCUCUGUAGAACCUCUUCUCUGAAGGGGAAUCGUUCUCAUUUAGUGAUAUCCACAUGUUCCUUGCACCCUGGCUUCAAGAACACCUAGGGUGAAUGCAAGUGCCCCUUAAUCAUUUUCAGAAGGAAUCCAAAGUACUAUAGAUUCAAGGGAUCACUGUUCACCCUUGUUUUCGAAUCAGUUUAGGAAAACUGUGCACGGUACCCCUACACACAGAUGCAUACACACACACACACACACACACACACACACUUAAAGAUUCACAGUGAAUUUUUUUUUUCUUGAGGGUCUUGCUCUGUUGCCCAGGUGGGAGUGCAGUGCCAUGAUCACGGCUCACUGCAGCCUUGACCUCCCAGGCUCUGGCGAUCCUCCCACCUCAGCCC